CCAUAAUCCCCAUAUGUCAUGGGAGGGGCCUGGUGGGAGGUAAUUGAAUCAUGAGGGUGAUUAUCCUUAUGCUGCUGUUCUUGUGAUAGUAAUUGAGUUCUCAUGAGAUCUGACGGUUUUACAAUCGGCUUUUUCUCUUUUUGCUCAGUACUACUUCCUGUCACCAUGUGAAGAAGGAUGUGUUUGCUUCACCUUCUGCCAUAAUUGUAAUUUUCCUGAGGCCUCCCCAACCUUGCAGAACUACUUCCUGUUCCUUGAUGCUCAAGAGAGGGAGAAAAAAAGACAAGAUAAGUCUAUAGUGGACCUUGGCACUUGGAAAUUCACCAGGGAAAAACUAGACGAUACUGUGUGA
This 352-nucleotide long non-coding RNA is filed under the name Callithrix jacchus (white-tufted-ear marmoset). RNAcentral's name for it is "lncRNA (ENSCJAG00000086599.1)". The record is from RNAcentral. Lineage: Eukaryota; Metazoa; Chordata; Mammalia; Primates; Cebidae.